UGAGGAAUAUUGGUCAAUGGACGAGAGUCUGAACCAGCCAAGUAGCGUGAAGGAUGACUGCCCUAUGGGUUGUAAACUUCUUUUAUAUGGGAAUAAAGUAUUCCACGUGUGGGAUUUUGUAUGUACCAUAUGAAUAAGGAUCGGCUAACUCCGUGCCAGCAGCCGCGGUAAUACGGAGGAUCCGAGCGUUAUCCGGAUUUAUUGGGUUUAAAGGGAGCGUAGGUGGAUUGUUAAGUCAGUUGUGAAAGUUUGCGGCUCAACCGUAAAAUUGCAGUUGAUACUGGCGUCCUUGAGUACGGUUGAGGCAGGCGGAAUUCGUGGUGUAGCGGUGAAAUGCUUAGAUAUCACGAAGAACCCCGAUUGCGAAGGCAGCCUGCUAAACCGCCACUGACGUUGAGGCUCGAAAGUGUGGGUAUCAAACAGGAUUAGAUACCCUGGUAGUCCACACGGUAAACGAUGGAUACUCGCUGUUGGCGAUAGACUGUCAGCGGCUUAGCGAAAGCGUUAAGUAUCCCACCUGGGGAGUACGCCGGCAACGGUGAAACUCAAAGGAAUUGACGGGGGCCCGCACAAGCGGAGGAACAUGUGGUUUAAUUCGAUGAUACGCGAGGAACCUUACCCGGGCUUGAAUUGCAGACGAAUUGCUUGGAAACAGGCAAGCCGCAAGGCGUCUGUGAAGGUGCUGCAUGGUUGUCGUCAGCUCGUGCCGUGAGGUGUCGGCUUAAGUGCCAUAACGAGCGCAACCCUCGUGUCCAGUUACUAGCAGGUUAUGCUGAGGACUCUGGACAGACUGCCAUCGUAAGAUGUGAGGAAGGUGGGGAUGACGUCAAAUCAGCACGGCCCUUACGUCCGGGGCUACACACGUGUUACAAUGGGGGGUACAGCAGGCAGCUACCGGGCGACCGGAUGCCAAUCCCGAAAGCCUCUCUCAGUUCGGACUGGAGUCUGCAACCCGACUCCACGAAGCUGGAUUCGCUAGUAAUCGCGCAUCAGCCACGGCGCGGUGAAUACGUUCCC
Molecule: ribosomal RNA, 1017 nt
Filed under: uncultured bacterium
Lineage: Bacteria
Description: bacterial SSU rRNA
Rfam family: Bacterial small subunit ribosomal RNA
Source: RNAcentral